AAUGUAAAUAUAUAUUUAGAAAAACCUUUCUGAAAAUCCUCCGGAAUCAUUUACCAUGCUUUUUAUAUAUCAUUUUUAAGAUUUACUUAUAGAGUUCAUUUUGCUAUUAAACUUCACUUUCACUAGGCUUCAUGUCCAGACAGAAGCUUUGUUUUGCUUUGUUUUUCCUUGUAUGCUGUAACAGCAGUUUUUCUAAUGACCAAUAGCCUAUGUCUGAUUCAUUUUAUUUUUGCUGAUCUCUGUAUGGUAUAACCUUUUUUUUUUUUUUUUUUUUUUUUUUUUUAACAAUACUGUUUUCUAUAUUUUAUGUAUUUUUAUGUAAAUAGAUAGUAAUAAUAAUUAACCUUUUGUGUUGAAUGAAACUUUUACGACUCUAAAGUAAUGAUAUACAUGAAUACAGGUGUGGUGUGAUAGCAGACACCUCAGAAGCAUUAACACAGAUGCCAUAUAAAAAAAGCUGCAUGAGUUGAUAAGGGGCCACAGGGCCAGACUGGAGGUCCCAGGGCUAUAACCAACUCACCAACGGUCCUGGAUAAAAACAAUUUUAGCAGUAAAAAGAGAAUAAAGAACAAGUACCAAAUGUCCAUCAUAUAUAUGUAUAUGUGUAUUAUAUGUAUAAUGUAUAUUAUAUAUACAACAGAUUUGCAUUCAACAUGGAGUUGUGGACCAGUAAAGGAAGAGCAAGGAAUAAAGAUGACUUGCUGUAACCUGCCCUUCUGGACUCAAGCUGAAGACCUUAGGACUUGAAUGAACAGCGCAACAUCAAAGGAAAGGGAUAGAUGUUAUGCAUUAUGUGGAUAAUAAUGUAACAGUGUUAUUUUUGAGAUUUUAUCUGUAAAAUUAUGCCUAAUUUUCUUUUUUCCCCUUCUGUAAUACUUAAUUCUGGAUUUAUUAGCAACUUAUGUGAUUAGACUGUUAAGGUAUCAUUUAGACUAUAAUGAAUGAUUUCAGAUAAUAUAAGGUGUAUUUUCUUUUGCUCAUAACUAGACUUUGAGGUAACGGAUGACCAUAUUCUUUUUAUUUUAUUUUUUAACAGCAAACACAAAAAGAGAUAUAUCUUCCAAAGGAGGCAGGAGUUAUGAUGAUGCUUAUUUUUCAUACAAUAGCCCAUAUUCAAUUUGUUUUAUCCAACGUCUGUUUAGCUUAUAGCAUGUAAAUAGUACUUUAUACAGUGACUUCAAAAAUUCAGUAGUCACUCAAUCCCUAUCGUGCCUUCAGUAUUCUCUGUUUGAACUUCAUGGUGACUCAGACUGAGGAAUUCUUGCAUUAAAAAAUAUAUUUCAAGGGAGGAGCCCUUGAGAUUUAAGGAUUUCCAGCUAGAAAGCAACUAACUGCAUAUAUUCACUUUAAAAUCUAUAAUACUAAUAAAAAUGUAAUACUAAUAAAACA
Molecule: long non-coding RNA, 1389 nt
Filed under: Anas platyrhynchos platyrhynchos (common mallard)
Lineage: Eukaryota; Metazoa; Chordata; Aves; Anseriformes; Anatidae
Description: lncRNA (ENSAPLG00000020698.1)
Source: RNAcentral